GACGAACGCUGGCGGCGUGCCUAAUACAUGCAAGUCGAGCGCUGACGGGUGUUACUUGUAUCCACUGUAUGAGCAGCGAACGGGCGAGUGACGCGUGGGUACUCUGCCUUCGCGCGGGAGACAACAAACGGGGACGAAUGCUAACUCCGCAUAAGAACUUUAAACACAAGUUUUAUGUUUGAAAGAAGCAAUUCCAUCACUCAAAGAUGAUCCCGCGGUGUUUUAGCUAGUAGGUGAGUUACAGGCUCACCAACGCGAUGAUACAUAGUCGACCUGUGGGGGGGGUCGGCGACAUUGGGACUGGGAAACGACACAAACGCCUACGGGAGGCAGCAGUAGGGAGUCUGCGGCAAUGGACGAAAGUCUGACCGAGCAACGCCGCGUGAGUGAUGAAGGUUUUCGGAUCGUAAAAUUCUGUUGGUAGAGAAGAGCGGGGGUGAGAGUGGAAAGCUAAUCAAGUGACGGUAACUACACAAAAAGGGACGGCUAACUACGUG
Molecule: ribosomal RNA, 497 nt
Filed under: uncultured bacterium
Lineage: Bacteria
Description: partial 16S ribosomal RNA
Rfam family: Bacterial small subunit ribosomal RNA
Source: RNAcentral